RNAcentral lists this ribosomal RNA (497 nucleotides) under uncultured bacterium. RNAcentral's name for it is "partial 16S ribosomal RNA". It matches the Rfam family "Bacterial small subunit ribosomal RNA", at positions 28 to 507 of the family's 1533-position model. The record is from RNAcentral.
GAUGAACGCUGGCGGCGUGCCUAAUACAUGCAAGUCGAGCGAACGGACGAGAAGCUUGCUUCUCUGAUGUUAGCGGCGGACGGGUGAGUAACACGUGGAUAACCUACCUAUAAGACUGGGAUAACUUCGGGAAACCGGAGCUAAUACCGGAUAAUAUUUUGAACCGCAUGGUUCAAAAGUGAAAGACGGUCUUGCUGUCACUUAUAGAUGGAUCCGCGCUGCAUUAGCUAGUUGGUAAGGUAACGGCUUACCAAGGCAACGAUGCAUAGCCGACCGGAGAGGGGGAUAGCCGACACUGGAACUGAGACGCGGUCCAGACUCCUACGGGAGGCAGCAGAAGGGAAUCUUACGCAAUGGGCGGAAGCAUGGCGGAGCAACGCCGCGUGAGUGAUGAAGGUCUUCGGAUCGUAAAACUCGGUUAUUAGGGAAGAACAGAUGUGUAAGUAACUGUGCACAUCUUGACGGUACCUAAUCAGAAAGCAACGGCUAACUACGUG